GGAUGAACGCUGGCGGCGUGCCUAAUACAUGCAAGUCGAGCGAACAGAUAAGGAGCUUGCUCCUUUGACGUUAGCGGCGGACGGGUGAGUAACACGUGGGUAACCUACCUAUAAGACUGGAAUAACUCCGGGAAACCGGGGCUAAUGCCGGAUAAUAUUUAGAACCGCAUGGUUCUAAAGUGAAAGAUGGUUUUACUAUCACUUAUAGAUGGACCCGCGCCGUAUUAGCUAGUUGGUGGGGUAAUGGCUUACCAAGGCAACGAUACGUAGCCGACCUGAGAGGGUGAUCGGCCACACUGGAACUGAGACACGGUCCAGACUCCUACGGGAGGCAGCAGUAGGGAAUCUUCCGCAAUGGGCGAAAGCCUGACGGAGCAACGCCGCGUGAGUGAUGAAGGUCUUCGGAUCGUAAAACUCUGUUAUUAGGGAAGAACAAAUGUGUAAGUAACUGUGCACGUCUUGACGGUACCUAAUCAGAAAGCCACGGCUAACUACGUGCCAGCAGCCGCGGUAAUAC
RNAcentral lists this ribosomal RNA (517 nucleotides) under uncultured bacterium. RNAcentral's name for it is "bacterial SSU rRNA". It matches the Rfam family "Bacterial small subunit ribosomal RNA", at positions 27 to 526 of the family's 1533-position model. The record is from RNAcentral.